Small nucleolar RNA from Esox lucius (northern pike), 75 nucleotides. Ensembl annotates it as small nucleolar RNA SNORD61. NCBI's taxonomy places the organism in Eukaryota, Metazoa, Chordata, Actinopteri, Esociformes, Esocidae. The record is from Ensembl.
GCAAUGAAGACAAUUUUUGGUUAUGAGCAAAUGGCUGAAUAAAACUCACCAAAACCUCUAAGAAGUUCUGAGCUC